Molecule: long non-coding RNA, 1149 nt
Filed under: Cricetulus griseus (Chinese hamster)
Lineage: Eukaryota; Metazoa; Chordata; Mammalia; Rodentia; Cricetidae
Description: lncRNA (ENSCGRG00015013011.2)
Source: RNAcentral
AUCCUCCAGCAGCGGGAUGUGAGCCACCUGCAAGGAGGGACACCAAUAAGGCGUCUGAUAAGAUAAGUCUUAUAAAAUAUAUAGGUUUAUGAUAAUUAAGACUGAGCUAACAGAUGAGAAAUCCUAGUCAUUGGCCAAGCAGCAUUUGAACCCAAUACAAGUUUCUUUGUAUUAAUUUGGGCCCUAACUCGGGCGGGCGGCUAGCAUAAAGCACACACAUGGCAGUGGGGCUCCACAGCUUUUGGUGGAAAGAUUUAUCGUAACACCUUUGGGGACAAGGGAGUGGAAUGUGGCAGUUUGAAAGAAAAUAGUCUCCACAGGGAAUGACACAAUUAGGAGGUGUGAUCUUGUUGGAGUAGGUGUGGCCUUGGAGGAAGUGUGCCAUUGUGGAGAGGGGCUUUGAGGUCUCAUAUAUGCUCAAGCUACUCCCAGUGAGACGGACCACUUCCCUGUUGCCUGUGAGUCAAGAUGUAAGAACUCUCAGCUCCUUUUCUAGCAUCAUGUCUGUCUGCAGGCUGCCUUGUCAUACCAUGAUGGUAAUGGACCAAACCUCUGAACUGAAACUUCACCCAGGAGUUCACAACACUGGAGCUGCCUAUGUGGCCGAUUGCCAGAGUUGAGCACACAUGGUGCUGGCCAAAAAGGGGCUUAGCUUUCCCAGGAGAGACUAAGAGCAAGAAUUGGACAAGCAGAGAACAGUCUUCAAAUGAAUGUUUGGGACACAUUUGUCACAACAUUUUAUUAUAGAACAAUGACAUUCUGAUAUAUUUAGAUUCUUGUCAUUUUUUACUUAAUCUUUGUGUGUGUGUGUGUGUGUGUGUGUGUGUGUGUGUGUGUGUGUGUGUGUGUGUGUUUCAUGUCUGUUAAUAUAGACACCUAUGUUUCAUGAUAUGUAGAGGUCAGAAUUCAACCUGUUAUAAUGGUCCAGACUUUCCACUUGGUUUAAGGCUGGGUCUCUUGUCAUCUCCAUGGUAUGGACCAGUCUUAACUGUAGUGGAGACUCUGUGAAUUCCCCUCCCUUCUACCCAAAAGAACUCUGGGAUGGAAGAUGCCGUUGUCUGAUAUUGUGUGGAUAUCUGAACUCAGGUCCUUGUUCUGCAGUGAAACCUUUACCAAAUGAACUUCAGGGGAACUAGAGAGAAUUCUGGG